CUCCCCCAAUUUUUAUUUUAUUUUUUUCCUUUUUUUAUUUUUUGAAAGAUCGCCUAAUAAAUUAUUGAAUAUGAUUAAUUUCCCCAUGAUGGCUUAUGUUAUACUGUUAAGCACUCGAAUAGUCGAGCGCGCUGUCCUCUGACAGCUCUUGUUUGAUAAGCAGUGAAAUACAGCAUAUAUUUAUAUCAGAGCCUAUUGCAUGUCAUGCACCCUAUGGUUCUUGAGUUCACAGGAUAGGUGUCAAAUUAACCUUACUUAAUCAUACUAUUGUUGUGUAAGCAAACUUAUGUUGUUAUUGUUUAUCCCAUAAUGUAACCUUCGGCCUACUAUCAAGCGUGAAUUGCACAAAUAAGCUCAAGCGAAUCAUUCCGCAAUUAUCUUUAAUAGUUUUUGAUCUCAGAGACUGUCAAGUACCAGCCAAAUCUUUUCCUGUAGGCUUGUAUAACAUUAAGAACAAAAUGCAGAAUAGCCAAUUGUGCGACCUAAUUGACAAAAUUCCAUUUUAAAAGUACAUGUAAAUACAGAUCUCUGCUGUCAAGUGACAAUAAAAAGUGACUAAAGAUCGUGUGUUAUAUAAUGCAACAUUUAUGUGUAUUUGUGUUGGUCUUGUAUCAGUCUGUAUGUAUGUAGGUCUGUUUUUAUGUUGGUCAGUGGGUAUGUAGGUCAGUUGGUGUGUAGGUCAGUAUGUAUGUAGGUCUGUAUUUUUGUUGGUCAGUUGGUAUGUAGGUCUGUUUUUAUGUUGGUCAGUUGGUGUGUAGGUCAGUAUGUAUGUAGGUCAGUACGUAUGUAGGUCUGUAAUUAUGUUGGUCAGUUGGUAUGUAGGUCAGUAUGUAUGUAGGUCUGUGUUUAUGUUGGUCAGUUGGUAUGUAGGUCAGUAUGUGUGUAGGUCUGUUUUUAUGUUGGUCAGUUGGUAUGUAGGUCUGUUUUUAUGUUGGUCAGUUGGUAUGUAGGUAUGUAUUUAUGUUGGUCAGUUGGUAUGUAGGUCAGUAUGUAUGUAGGUCUGUUUUUAUGUUGGUCAGUUGGUAUGUAGGUCUGUUUUUAUGUUGGUCAGUUGGUAUGUAGGUAUGUAUUUAUGUUGGUCAGUUGGUAUGUAGGUCAGUAUGUAUGUAGGUCUGUUUUUAUGUUGGUCAGUAUGUAUGUAGGUCUGUUUUUAUGUUGGUCAGUUGAUGUGUAGGUCUGUUUAAUGUUGGUCAGUUGGUAUGUAGGUCUGUUUUUAUGUUAGUCAGUUGGUAUGUAUCUCUGUUUUAUGUUGGUCAGUUGGUAUGUACCGUAAUUACUCUAUGUUUUCGGACACUCAAAAAUAAUUUAUUUUUUUCGUGUCUGAAAACUUAGAUACGAAAAAUAUUCACGAAAUACAGAUGUCCGAAAACUUAGAGUCGAAUAUUGAAGCGUCCGAAAAUAGCGUAAAUUGUAUCAACGACUACCGGUAAUAGCACGCGCUUGUAAAAUACCAUGCCGUAUAGUAUAAAUAACAGUUAUAAAUGUUUGCGCUGCAUUUAAAGUAAUUUUAAAUGCUUAAUUUAUUUGACAGAAAGUAACUACAAGGCUGUACUUUGACCAACGAGUUCAAAGAUGAGCAUGUGAUGUACCGAUACUCGCUAGUAUGAACCUAUAAUUAACGCAAUAAAAUCAAGCAAACUAUGAAUUCUUUGUUUGUUAAUUUCCGAUAGUUGUUGUCUAACACCUUCCAUUGUUGGUAAAACAUGCAAUAGGGAGCAUCACACUUUGAAGCGUUUAGUAUUUGUCACAGUUAUUUAACUGAGAAUGUGUAAUACCACUGCGGUAGAUAAUUGAAUUGUUAAUUGGCACUACCCCUGGUAAUUGUCAUAACGCUUAUUAUAUCGGGCAAAACCAUUGUUUAAUACCGGUUUACAAGGUUAUUUACCCCAUAACACAAAUAUAAUGGUCCGUUGCCCUCAGGCAUGCACCUGCCAUGUUUUAUGAUGUUAAUCUGGCUGUAAAACCCCAUGAUCGAAGUGUCAUUAGAUAUCGAAAACACAACCGAAAUUUGGUAACAUAGCGCUGUAAAAUAUAUUGUCCUAAAACUUAGAGACAUUAAUUAUGGACGAAAACUCGUGUGUCCGAAAAUUAAGAGUCACGAAAAAUAAUUAUUUUUACUAAAAAAUGGGGCGUCCGGAAACUUAGAGUGUCCGAAAACAUAGAGUUAUUACGGUAGGUCUGUUUUUAUGUUGGUCAGUUGGUAUGUAGGUCUGUUUUUAUGAUGGUCAGUUGGUAUGUAGGUCAGUAUGUAUGUUGGUCAGUAUGUAUGUAGGUUUGUAGUUAUGUUGUUCAGUUUGUGUGUAUGUCUGUUUUUAUGUUGGUCAGUUGGUAUGUAGGUCUGUAUGUAUGUAGAUCUGUAUUUAUGCUGGUCAGUUUGUAGGUCAGUAUGUAUGUAGGUAUGUAUUUAUGUUGGUCAGUUGGUGUGUAGGUCAGUAUGUAUGUAGGUCUGUAUUUAUGUUGGCCAGUUUGUAGGUCAGUAAGUAUGUAGGUCAGUAUGUAUGUAGGUGAGUAUGUAUGUAGGUCUGUAUUUAUGUUAGUCAGUUGGUGUGUAGGUCAAUAUGAAUGUAGGUCUGUAUUUAUGUAGGUCAGUUGGUGUGUAGGUCAGUUGGUGUGUAGGUCAGUAUGUAUGUAGGUCUGUAUUUAUGUUAGUCAGUUGGUGUGUAGGUCAGUAUGAAUGUAGGUCUGUAUUUAUGUUGGUCAGUUGGUGUGUAGGUCAGUUGGUGUGUAGGUCAGUAUGUAUGUAGGUCUGUAUUUAUGUUAGUCAGUUGGUGUGUAGGUCAGUAUGAAUGUAGGUCUGUAUUUAUGUUGGUCAGUUGGUGUGUAGGUCAGUUGGUGUGUAGGUCAGUAUGUAUGUAGGUCUGUAAUUAUGUUGGUCAGUUGGUGUGUAGGUCAGUAUGUAUGUAGGUCAGUUUGUUUGUAGGUCAGUAUGUAUGUAGGUCAGUAUGUAUGUUGGUCUGUAUUUAUGUUGGUCAGUUGGUGUGUAGGUCAGUAUGUAUGUAUGUAGGUCUGUAUUUAUGUUGGUCAGUUGUGUAGGUUAGUUGGUGUCUAGGUCAGUAUGUAUGUAGGUCUGUAAUUAUGUUGGUCAGUUGGUGUGUAGGUCAGUAUGUAUGUAGGUCUGUUUUUAUGUUGGUCAGUUGGUAUAUAGGUCAGUAUGUAUGCAGGUCUGUAUGUAAGUAGGUUUACUAAAGGUUUUUCAUAUUGUUAGUGUAAUUACUAUAUAAAAAAAAACAUGUAUGUCGUUAUUUACAUGAUGUAGGUAUUUAAUGUUGGAGUUAAUUCAAAACCUCUUCAUAAUUUUGUGAUUAUUAAUUUGUGUGUUGUUAUGUUUUUGACUUGUCUCACUUUUAACUUACAGUUAACAUCUACUUUAAAGCAAACAAGAUAUUGAUUUAAGAAGGGACAUUAUUUAUCAAGGUUACAGAAAGGUUUCUGCACUUUUCAACACCUAUAAUCUGUACCAGGGAUACACCUGCUUUGUAAUUAACUGCCUAUUCUGUAACUUUUGUUUUUCUGGUUAUACUUGUGUUUUUUUUAUGUCCCCCACCACUAUAGUGGGGGACAUAUUGUUUUUGCCCUGUCCCUUGGUUUGUUUGUUUGUUUUCCCCAACUUGAACAUUUUGCCCUAACUUUUGCAAUAUUGAAUAAAGCAACUUCAUAUUUGGCAUGCAUGUGUAUCUCAUGGAGCUGCACAUUUUGAGUGGUGAAAGGUCAAGGUCAUCCUUCAAGGUCAAAGGUAAAAAAAAACAUCAAGGGAAGUAAUAAGCUUUAAAGGGAGAUAAUUAUCUGAACCUGCCUAAUGAUAAAAAAAUCAAAGCAGCACAGUAGGGGAUAUACUGUUUCUGACAAACACAUUUCUUGUUUAUUUUAGUAAUCAUUAUAUUCAAAUGCAUUUUCGCAAUUUUAGUAAUUCAAUAAAUGAAGAUAUAUAUUGUUUCAACAGCUUUAUAACAUGGAUGUCAAUUUCUAUGGUUUGUUGUUGUAGAUUUGUUUCAGUUCUUGAGUUUUUAGAAUUGUGUAUCAUUUUAUUCGAUUUGUCUCUGUUUAUACAUGUUGUGAGGGGAAUCAGGGUGGAUGACACCUUUCUUAUUCAAACUUAAAAUUAAAGCUGCUCAGCAACUA
This is a long non-coding RNA of Dreissena polymorpha, 4119 nucleotides long. RefSeq lists it as uncharacterized. The record is from RefSeq and is a predicted model, not a curated record. The transcript has 2 exons. Lineage: Eukaryota; Metazoa; Mollusca; Bivalvia; Myida; Dreissenidae.